This 504-nucleotide long non-coding RNA is filed under the name Homo sapiens (human). Its description in RNAcentral is "HSALNT0007355". The record is from RNAcentral. Lineage: Eukaryota; Metazoa; Chordata; Mammalia; Primates; Hominidae.
AGCUGGUGAAGGUUUCUAAGGAGAUGAUGGUCAGUGCUCUCUGGGCUGCAGGAACACCAGGGCAGUGCAGAAGCUCACCUCUAGCCUGCUGUGUUCUGUGGGUCACAAGCUAUGGUGGCCUAAAUCUAUUACUAGAAGAUGACCAUACUCACACCACAGAGGAUGGUUGUGGUAAUUAAAAUGUCUAAUAGAUGUGAAGGCACUGAGAUGUCUAGAGAUCUAACUGCAGAGAUCAUUAGCGUCAGAGGACGAUCUCAUCUUGAAUGCUGGCAGCUAGCGAAACUGGACCACACAGAGCCAUGGAGGGGGAAAAAGAUGAAAGGAGCAAAUAGAGGAAAGACAACCAAGAUUAUUUCCAAUUUCUUGAGAUAUCCCUUCCACCUGGAUGCUUUGAUAAUGGCAUAGCAGCAAACAAAGUCUGAGGCUACAUGAGACUCAAAAAUAAGAGGGAGAAAUCACUCAGUUCUGUCAUCCAGAUAUUUCAUUUGCAGGGCAACAAACAGC